UACGUAGGGUGCGAGCGUUGUCCGGAAUUAUUGGGCGUAAAGAGCUCGUAGGCGGUCUGUCGCGUCGGUCGUGAAAACUUGGGGCUUAACCCUGAGCUUGCGGUCGAUACGGGCAUGACUGGAGUUCGGCAGGGGAGACUGGAAUUCCUGGUGUAGCGGUGAAAUGCGCAGAUAUCAGGAGGAACACCGGUGGCGAAGGCGGGUCUCUGGGCCGAUACUGACGCUGAGGAGCGAAAGCGUGGGAGCGAACAGG
RNAcentral lists this ribosomal RNA (253 nucleotides) under uncultured bacterium. RNAcentral describes it as "partial 16S ribosomal RNA". It matches the Rfam family "Bacterial small subunit ribosomal RNA", at positions 524 to 776 of the family's 1533-position model. The record is from RNAcentral.